Molecule: ribosomal RNA, 617 nt
Filed under: Moquilea minutiflora
Lineage: Eukaryota; Viridiplantae; Streptophyta; Magnoliopsida; Malpighiales; Chrysobalanaceae
Description: eukaryotic LSU rRNA
Rfam family: 5.8S ribosomal RNA (bases 204-359)
Source: RNAcentral
AAACCUUGCCCACCAGAACGACCCGCGAACCAGUUGCGGAAAUACGAGGGGAUCGCGGGGGCCUCGGUCCCCUCGUCUCCUCGAAACAACAACCAAAACCCCGGCGCGAGUCGCGCCAAGGAAAUUCAACCAGAAGAUCGCCGUCCCGGUCCCAGGAAAGGGGGUCACGGGGCGGCGGCCCUUCGCGUCGAACGAGCAAAAACGACUCUCGGCAACGGAUAUCUCGGCUCUCGCAUCGAUGAAGAACGUAGCGAAAUGCGAUACUUGGUGUGAAUUGCAGAAUCCCGGGAACCAUCGAGUCUUUGAACGCAAGUUGCGCCCGACGCCUUUAGGCCGGGGGCACGUCUGCCUGGGUGUCACGCACCGUCGCCCCAAAACCCACCUCCGCCCGAGGGAGUUACGGGGCGGAUGUUGGUCUCCCGUUAGCCGCGGCUAGCGGUUGGCCCAAAUCGGCAAUCCCCGGCGGAGGACGCCACGACGAUCGGUGGUUUUGGCCCUCGGACUCGGUCGUGCGCGAACUCCCCCACACGGACCCAGACGCGUUCCUCGCGAGCGCUGCCCACGCGACCCCAGGUCAGGCGGGACUACCCGCUGAGUUUAAGCAUAUCAAUAAGCGG